GUGGGGAAUCUUGCGCAAUGGGCGAAAGCCUGACGCAGCGACGCCGCGUGGGGGCAGAAGGCUUUCGGGUUGUAAACCCCUUUCAGGAAGGACGAAGCCACUCGGGUUAAUAGCCCAGCGGGUGACGGUACUUCCAGAAGAAGCCCCGGCUAACUACGUGCCAGCAGCCGCGGUACUACGUAGGGGGCAAGCGUUGUCCGGAUUUAUUGGGCGUAAAGAGCGUGUAGGCGGUUAGGUAGGUCCGUUGGGAAAACUCGAGGCUCAACCUCGAGACGCCGAUGGAACCCAUCUGACUAGAGUCCGGAAGAGGAGAGUGGAAUUCCUGGUGUAGCGGUGAAAUGCGCAGAUAUCAGGAAGAACGCCCGUGGCUAAGGCGGCUCUCUAGUACGUGACUGACGCUGAGACGCGAAAGCGUGGGGAGCGAAC
This 426-nucleotide ribosomal RNA is filed under the name uncultured bacterium. RNAcentral describes it as "bacterial SSU rRNA". It matches the Rfam family "Bacterial small subunit ribosomal RNA", at positions 354 to 773 of the family's 1533-position model. The record is from RNAcentral.